UGCGCAGGCGGUUUUGUAAGACAGCUGUGAAAUCCCCGGGCUUAACCUGGGAACUGCGGUUGUGACUGCAAGACUGGAGUCAGGCAGAGGGGGGUGGAAUUCCACGUGUAGCAGUGAAAUGCGUAGAGAUGUGGAGGAACACCGAUGGCGAAGGCAGCCCCCUGGGCCAUGACUGACGCUCAAGCACGAAAGCGUGGGGAGCAAACAGGAUUAGAUACCCUGGUAGUCCACGCCCUAAACGAUGCCAACUAGGUGUUGGGGAAGGAGACUUCCUUAGUGCCGUAGCUAACGCGUGAAGUUGGCCGCCUGGGGAGUACGGUCGCAAGAUUAAA
RNAcentral lists this ribosomal RNA (332 nucleotides) under uncultured bacterium. RNAcentral's name for it is "bacterial SSU rRNA". It matches the Rfam family "Bacterial small subunit ribosomal RNA", at positions 568 to 898 of the family's 1533-position model. The record is from RNAcentral.